Molecule: long non-coding RNA, 1012 nt
Filed under: Numida meleagris (helmeted guineafowl)
Lineage: Eukaryota; Metazoa; Chordata; Aves; Galliformes; Numididae
Description: lncRNA (ENSNMEG00000018310.1)
Source: RNAcentral
GCCUGGUGCUGCUGGAGCAAUGAACUUCCAGGGCUGGCACUGGGAGCCCUCACCUUGGCCAGAGCAGGUCCCAUUGAUGGGGCUGGUGCCUCUUGGUGGUGGAACAUAGUUAGUGCCAAGAGGUCGCGAUGGCAGACAAGCAGGAUCCUACUGCAGCUGGGGAGAAAGACUUGUGUUAGGGGAUUGGAAGUGGAGAGACUUCACAGGGAACAGCCAGAGUAAAUGUACGCUGCGUCUCGUGCAGCCUGCUGGCUGGGUGAGAGAUUCCGUCUGUUCCCUCCAGUUUCUGUUUUUCUCCUGAGCUCACUUUUGGAUGGCUCUUGGCCUCCUUUCAUAAACUUGGCUGGAGGAAAGUCUGUGAAAACAAUGAAACAUUAGCACCCAAGGAGAGUCCUCGCUGCCAUUCACAGCUCUGCUUUGAUGAUUUGCCUGGUAGCACGUGUGUGGAGGAUUACGGGCGACACCACAAAGGUGCUGCUGAAGAGAGGCUGUGCCAUUUUCUUUCCUGCUGCAUGGGAUCAGCAGCCCCUGGCUGGCUGCAGCUGUACGGAUCACAGCACAGCUGGGUCUUGGUUUCACCUGCUCCAUCCCAGGCUGCACACUGCGAGAGGGCACUGACGGAGGUGGGAUUACAGCAGCCUGACAGACCACACUCGUGCUGGGGAAGAAAAAUGGCUGCCCACUCUUCUCUGCCUGGAUCCAUGGACCUUUCCCACUUCGUUGCUGAAGAAGCAGGAAUAAGAAAGGGGAGGGAAAAGAAGACAUUAGGAAAUCCAAGUGGAAAUGAAAAUAAAAAAUGGGUAGGAUUCAGCUGCCUAACCGUAGGCAAGGAGAGAUAUAUGAGAUACUUCAGGAUUCCCUUCAGCGGCAGCUUUACAAAGGCACGGUAUCUGUUAGGUCCUCUGUCAUGUCCGCAGCUGUGUGCAGAUGCUGUGGAUGCUCCAGCACUUCUAAUGGGCAGCAGGAUUUGAGCAGCAAAACCUUCUUGGAAUAAAACAGAAAUUUUCUAACA